UACGGAGGGGGCAAGCGUUAUUCGGAAUCACUGGGCUUAAAGGGUGCGUAGGCGGACCGGAAAGCGUCCUGUGAAAUCCCACGGCUCAACCGUGGAACUGCAGGGCGAACUGCCGGUCUUGAGGAAGGUAGGCGCCGACGGAACAGUAGGUGGAGCGGUGAAAUGCGUAGAUAUCUGGAGGAACACCGGUGGCGAAGGCGGCAUCCUGGACCAAUUCUGACGCUGAGGAGCGAAAGCCAGGGGAGCAAACGGG
This 253-nucleotide ribosomal RNA is filed under the name uncultured bacterium. RNAcentral's name for it is "partial 16S ribosomal RNA". It matches the Rfam family "Bacterial small subunit ribosomal RNA", at positions 524 to 776 of the family's 1533-position model. The record is from RNAcentral.